This 70-nucleotide transfer RNA is filed under the name human gut metagenome. It matches the Rfam family "tRNA". From Rfam's summary of the family: Transfer RNA (tRNA) molecules are approximately 80 nucleotides in length. Their secondary structure includes four short double-helical elements and three loops (D, anti-codon, and T loops). The record is from RNAcentral.
CGACUUAGCUCAAUUGGUAGAGCAACUGACUUGUAAUCAGUAGGUUGCGGGUUCAAUUCCUGCAGUCGGC